RNAcentral lists this small RNA (792 nucleotides) under Cryptococcus neoformans H99. RNAcentral's name for it is "Cryptococcus neoformans var. grubii H99 hypothetical RNA". Lineage: Eukaryota; Fungi; Basidiomycota; Tremellomycetes; Tremellales; Cryptococcaceae. The record is from RNAcentral.
GGGACAUCCAUCAGACAUUCUCGGAGAAUAACCAAAGGACGUCCCACAAAGGAAAGGAGCGAUAUCGCGGCGUCAUUCCACGCGUCUCAAAUCUGGACAUCCAUCGGACAUUUCAUUUGAGCGGCGGUGUAGCCCUCACUAACGAAGUAUAGUAAAGUUGAGACGGAUAUGCUGCAGAAGUGGGGAAGGAACAAUAGAGAGGAUGUGAUACCCCCCUAGGGAUUUCUCGGAGAGGGAAAGGGAAACCCAUCGAUAGAUAGCGAGCCGCAAGAAAGAGUAUUGGAGGUUGUAGUAUAUAGGCGGAGACGACAGAUUGGCCUCCAAGAUGAACUAACGAAAUGGGAAAUAAGAAUGAGGCGGCGGACUGAACAUAGAAUUAUGGAGAGACAACUUACACAGUCUCCUACUUCGGUGGCACCUUUAUCAAGCCUUCCCUUCUCAUCAGAAUCCUCAAAGCCCAUGUGCCCCAGAAAGCGCGCGCGAACGUAUACAGCAUAUUUGCAUCUUCUCCUUCCCCUCCCUUGCUGGAAAGGUGCAGACUGGGGAUACCAACAACCCAUGCGUCACCCGCAUUACAUCCAGCCCAAGAUUGAGUGGUAUAUGGUGGUUCUGGCGGCAGAGAAAAUUGGGGGGCUGGAGUGGAAGGGUAUAGCCGAAUGAGACGGAGGUGUUGUUGGUACGCUAGAGCGGCAGUGGGGGUGGCGCCCACCAAGACUGUUCGGAGUGUUUGGCAUACGAGGAAGAAAUAAUAUUAUAUGUCCAUGAUGGGGAUGUAUGUAAUGGUAGCCUUUU